Molecule: transfer RNA, 74 nt
Filed under: Thiemannella venezuelensis
Lineage: Bacteria; Bacillati; Actinomycetota; Actinomycetes; Streptosporangiales; Streptosporangiaceae
Also listed under: 54 other names
Description: Planomonospora venezuelensis tRNA
Rfam family: tRNA
About the family: Transfer RNA (tRNA) molecules are approximately 80 nucleotides in length. Their secondary structure includes four short double-helical elements and three loops (D, anti-codon, and T loops). Further hydrogen bonds mediate the characteristic L-shaped molecular structure. tRNAs have two regions of fundamental functional importance: the anti-codon, which is responsible for specific mRNA codon recognition, and the 3' end, to which the tRNAs corresponding amino acid is attached (by aminoacyl-tRNA synthetases). tRNAs cope with the degeneracy of the genetic code in two manners: having more than one tRNA (with a specific anti-codon) for a particular amino acid; and 'wobble' base-pairing, i.e. permitting non-standard base-pairing at the 3rd anti-codon position.
Source: Rfam by way of RNAcentral
CGGGGUGUGGCGCAGUUUGGUAGCGCACCUGCUUUGGGAGCAGGGGGCCGCAGGUUCAAAUCCUGUCACCCCGA